UAGAAGUCAGGUCGGAUUAAGCCAUAGUACGGAAAAAACUAUGCUACCUGUGAGCCCCGUCCAAGGACGUUAAAAGAAGUCAGGCCACUACAAGUGCCAUAGCUUGAGCAAACUAUGCAGCCUGUAGCUCCACCUGGGAAGGUGUAAAAAAUCUGGGAGGCCACAAACCAUGGAAGCUGUACGCAUGGCGUAGUGGACUAGCGGUUAGAGGAGACCCCUCCCUUGCAAGUCGCAGCAACAAUGGGGGCCCAAGGUGAGAU
Molecule: long non-coding RNA, 260 nt
Filed under: dengue virus type 2
Lineage: Riboviria; Orthornavirae; Kitrinoviricota; Flasuviricetes; Amarillovirales; Flaviviridae
Description: Dengue virus type 2 partial sfRNA1
Rfam family: Flavivirus DB element (bases 156-227)
Source: RNAcentral